Molecule: ribosomal RNA, 426 nt
Filed under: uncultured Caryophanaceae bacterium
Lineage: Bacteria; Bacillati; Bacillota; Bacilli; Caryophanales; Caryophanaceae
Description: bacterial SSU rRNA
Rfam family: Bacterial small subunit ribosomal RNA
Source: RNAcentral
GGGGAAUAUUGGACAAUGGGCGCAAGCCUGAUCCAGCCAUACCGCGUGGGUGAAGAAGGCCUUCGGGUUGUAAAGCCCUUUUGUUGGGAAAGAAAUCCAGCCGGCUAAUACCUGGUUGGGAUGACGGUACCCAAAGAAUAAGCACCGGCUAACUACGUGCCAGCAGCCGCGGUAAUACGUAGGUGGCAAGCGUUGUCCGGAAUUAUUGGGCGUAAAGCGCGCGCAGGUGGUUUCUUAAGUCUGAUGUGAAAGCCCACGGCUUAACCGUGGAGGGUCAUUGGAAACUGGGAGACUUGAGUGCAGAAGAGGAAAGUGGAAUUCCAAGUGUAGCGGUGAAAUGCGUAGAGAUUUGGAGGAACACCAGUGGCGAAGGCGACUUUCUGGUCUGCAACUGACGCUGAGGCGCGAAAGCAUGGGGAGCAAACA